RNAcentral lists this ribosomal RNA (484 nucleotides) under uncultured bacterium. RNAcentral describes it as "partial 16S ribosomal RNA". It matches the Rfam family "Bacterial small subunit ribosomal RNA", at positions 30 to 507 of the family's 1533-position model. The record is from RNAcentral.
ACUGAACGCUGGCGGCAUGCUUUACACAUGCAAGUCGAACGGCAGCGCGGGCUUCGGCCUGGCGGCGAGUGGCGAACGGGUGAGUAAUACAUCGGAACGUGCCCAGUAGUGGGGGAUAGCUCGGCGAAAGCCGGAUUAAUACCGCAUACGACCUGAGGGUGAAAGCGGGGGAUCUUCGGACCUCGCGCUAUUGGAGCGGCCGAUGGCAGAUUAGCUAGUUGGUGGGGUAAAGGCCUACCAAGGCGACGAUCUGUAGCUGGUCUGAGAGGACGACCAGCCACACUGGGACUGAGACACGGCCCAGACUCCUACGGGAGGCAGCAGUGGGGAAUUUUGGACAAUGGGCGAAAGCCUGAUCCAGCAAUGCCGCGUGUGUGAUGAAGGCCUUCGGGUUGUAAAGCACUUUUGGCGGGAACGAAAAGGACUGUGCCAAUACCACGGUUCGAUGACGGUACCCGCAGAAUAAGCACCGGCUAACUACGUG